RNAcentral lists this ribosomal RNA (1596 nucleotides) under Agathobacter rectalis. Its description in RNAcentral is "partial 23S ribosomal RNA". It matches the Rfam family "Bacterial large subunit ribosomal RNA", at positions 1 to 1611 of the family's 2925-position model. Lineage: Bacteria; Bacillati; Bacillota; Clostridia; Lachnospirales; Lachnospiraceae. The record is from RNAcentral.
GGUUAAGUUAAUAAGGGCGCACGGUGGAUGCCUUGGCACUAGAAGCCGAUGAAGGACGUGACUAACGACGAAAUGCUUUGGGGAGCUGUAAGUGAGCAAUGAUCCAGAGAUGUCCGAAUGGGGGAACCCGGCAGGUAAUGCCUGUCACUCAUUACUGUUAAGGUAAUGUAGAGGAAGACGCAGUGAACUGAAACAUCUAAGUAGCUGCAGGAAGAGAAAGCAAAAGCGAUUGCCUUAGUAGCGGCGAGCGAAACGGCAAGAGGGCAAACCGAAGAGUUUACUCUUCGGGGUUGUAGGACUGCAACGUGGACUUAAAGAUUAUAGAAGAACUACCUGGGAAGGUAGGCCAAAGAGAGUAAUAGCCUCGUAUUCGAAAUAGUCUUUAUACCUAGCAGUAUCCUGAGUACGGCGAGACACGAGAAAUCUCGUCGGAAUCUGGGAGGACCAUCUCCCAACCCUAAAUACUCUCUAGUGACCGAUAGUGAACCAGUACCGUGAGGGAAAGGUGAAAAGCACCCCGGGAGGGGAGUGAAAUAGAACCUGAAACCGUGUGCCUACAACAAGUUCGAGCCCGUUAAUGGGUGAGAGCGUGCCUUUUGUAGAAUGAACCGGCGAGUUACGAUAUGAUGCGAGGUUAAGUUGAAGAGACGGAGCCGUAGGGAAACCGAGUCUUAAUAGGGCGUAUUAGUAUCAUGUCGUAGACCCGAAACCAUGUGACCUACCCAUGAGCAGGUUGAAGGUGAGGUAAAACUCACUGGAGGACCGAACCAGGGCACGUUGAAAAGUGCUUGGAUGACUUGUGGGUAGCGGAGAAAUUCCAAACGAACUUGGAGAUAGCUGGUUCUCUCCGAAAUAGCUUUAGGGCUAGCGUCGAUGUUAAGUCUCUUGGAGGUAGAGCACUGUUUGGGUGAGGGGUCCAUCCCGGAUUACCAAUCUCAGAUAAACUCCGAAUGCCAACGAGAUAUAAUCGGCAGUCAGACUGCGAGUGCUAAGAUCCGUAGUCGAAAGGGAAACAGCCCAGACCACCAGCUAAGGUCCCAAAAUAUAUGUUAAGUGGAAAAGGAUGUGGGGUUGCACAGACAACUAGGAUGUUAGCUUAGAAGCAGCUAUUCAUUCAAAGAGUGCGUAAUAGCUCACUAGUCGAGUGACCCUGCGCCGAAAAUGUACCGGGGCUAAAACAUAUUACCGAAGCUGUGGAUACCUUUAUAGGUAUGGUAGGAGAGCGUUCUAUGUGCGAAGAAGGUGUACCGUGAGGAGUGCUGGAGCGCAUAGAAGUGAGAAUGCCGGUAUGAGUAGCGAAAGACAGGUGAGAAUCCUGUCCACCGUAAGACUAAGGUUUCCAGGGGAAGGCUCGUCCGCCCUGGGUUAGUCGGGACCUAAGGAGAGACCGAAAGGUGUAUCCGAUGGACAACAGGUUGAUAUUCCUGUACUAGAGUAUAUAGUGAUGGAGGGACGCAGUAGGCUAACUAAACCAGACGAUUGGAAGUGUCUGGCCAAGCAGUGAGGUGUGAUAUGAGUCAAAUGCUUAUAUCUAUAACAUUGAGCUGUGAUGGGGAGCGAAGUUUAGUAGCGAAGUUAGUGAUGUCACACUGCCGA